RNAcentral lists this ribosomal RNA (492 nucleotides) under uncultured bacterium. RNAcentral describes it as "partial 16S ribosomal RNA". It matches the Rfam family "Bacterial small subunit ribosomal RNA", at positions 29 to 507 of the family's 1533-position model. The record is from RNAcentral.
AAUGAACGCUGGCGGUAUGCCUAACACAUGCAAGUCGAACGGUAGCACACUAAGAUCUUGCUCUUCCGGGUGGCGAGUGGCGGAUGGGUAAGGAGUGCAUAGGCAUCUACUUUUUCGUGGGGGAUAACGUAGGGCAACUUACGAUAAUACCGCAUACUACCUACGGGUGAAAGCAUGAGAUCUUCAUACCUUUCGCUAUGGAAUUAGCCGAUGGCGUAUUAUCUAGUUGGUGGGGUAAAGUCCUACCAAUACAAUGAUACGUAGCUGACCUGAGAGGGUGAUCGGCCACACUGGGACUGAGACACGGCCCAGACUCCUACGGGAGGCAGCAGUAGGGAAUCUUCCACAAUGGGCGAAAGCCUGAUGGAGCAAUGCCGCGUGAAUGAAGAAGGUCUUCGGAUCGUAAAGUUCUGUUAUUAGAGAAGAACAAGUCAAGGAGUAACUGUCUUGACUUUGACGGUACCUAACCAGAAAGUCACGGCUAACUACGUG